RNAcentral lists this ribosomal RNA (253 nucleotides) under uncultured bacterium. Its description in RNAcentral is "partial 16S ribosomal RNA". It matches the Rfam family "Bacterial small subunit ribosomal RNA", at positions 524 to 776 of the family's 1533-position model. The record is from RNAcentral.
UACGUAGGGUGCAAGCGUUAUCCGGAAUUAUUGGGCGUAAAGAGCUCGUAGGCGGUUUGUCGCGUCUGCUGUGAAAACUGGAGGCUCAACCUCCAGCUGUCGUCGGAAACCCUCUGGCUAGAGUCCGGAAGAGGAGAGCGGAAUUCCUGGUGUAGCGGUGAAAUGCGCAGAUAUCAGGAAGAACACCGAUGGCGAAGGCAGCUCUCUGGGACGGUACUGACGCUGAGACGCGAAAGCGUGGGGAGCGAACAGG